GGCGGAGGAGGAGGAGUGCGCGAGGGCCUCUUCUCUUCUCAAGCUCCAAUAGCAUGUAGAAGAGAAACCCUUAUAAACCACUCCAACUCUCCUUUCACUUCCGGGGUGGGACUAAACUUCCCACCACACCUAGUGCCAUAUAACCCACAUGGGCCCUUAGAGAUUUUUCAGAAAUUGCAAUAUGGGCCUAGAGUCCAUCUCAGAUUUCAGCA
RNAcentral lists this ribosomal RNA (212 nucleotides) under Triticum aestivum (bread wheat). RNAcentral describes it as "partial small subunit ribosomal RNA". The record is from RNAcentral. Lineage: Eukaryota; Viridiplantae; Streptophyta; Magnoliopsida; Poales; Poaceae.